UAAAUGUCACGUUGAUGAAUUACAUUGCCAUAUAUGUCACGUUAAUAAGUUACGUUAUGAUGGGAGCUGCCCCCCCUCCUCUCUCUCUCUCCAUCGGUUUCUUCAACCUUUAGCCAUGAGGAAGGGUUUAAGCUAGUCUCACCCUCCCCUCUUUUGUUGAUUUUGUUUGCAUUUUAUUGUUCUUUUCUUGCCUUUUUUUUUCUCUCCCGAUUCAAAUUUGGGAGUUCUCUUCUCUUGGUCUAGUUCUCAAUUUAAGAAUUUGAAUUCUCACAAUUUAGUUCCAUAUUUUGAUGCUAUCAUCUCCUGAUCUAGAUCUAGGAGUUUAAUAAAUAUGUUUUUAGGGAUUCAAUGCCCCUCUACUAUGUUUGUGUAUAGGUUCUUUGCCUCCAGUUUUAAUGAUGAUUGCAAGAGUUUUGACGUCUUAUUGAAUCGUAAAGUUUUGCUCCUCCACAUGGUAGAUUGUACUCGUUCAACCUAAUUUGGUUAUCUCCGUAAGAUGAUGGCGUAAAGGCCGAAACUAUGCGCGCACCACCAAUUGGCAAAGUCAUAGUUAUUGGAGAAGGAAUUUUAAGCAUGUGCUCAUCAUUGACAAAGAUACGAGAUCCAGUGAUUGGUUGCUAAUUAUUUUGCUCAACAAAUAUGUUCUCUUGGAACAAGUGUGUGGUUAACUUUGCUGGUGUUCCAUUGAUCCUUGUUUUCUGGAUUUGGCUUUGCUUUUCACUAUUCUUGCUCUGUUUUGAUUUGUUCUGUCAUGAACACUAUGUACUUAUGUAUCAUUUUGAGUAAUGAAUAUAAUCUUCUUUCGAAUUUAAAAAAAAAAAUUCAUGUUGUGAUAAAUCACGAAGAUGAGCCAUGUUGUAAUAAAUAUUUUAAGAUGAGUCAUGAUGUUGUAAUAAGUGUUUUAUAAUGAGUCAUUGUGUUGUAUUAAUCGUAAGUCAUAGAUGUGAAUCACAUGUUUACAAAAAGCACUGGUUUUGUCUGUCUUUCGGUUUCAUUAAUAGCAAAAGAGCCUGACUAUAUAGGGACGAUUACGCUUGACUAAUAGAAUAUCAAGUCAAAGGGCCUGAAAAACGUAAUAUGCUACUACUAUAGGCUCGCUUCGCUUCUUCAAGCUCCGCCCCUUAUUGAAGACUAAAGUACCAUUAAUAAAGUUGGACGGACCCAAGAAAGAAAAGAAAGAAUUGACUCAUGGGGAUCAUCCUAUGAGGGCAAGAGAAAAGAGUGAUCCAAAGGCAGUUGUGUUCUUGAGGAAAAGAGAUGGGAUGCUUUAGGAACUUGAGAGGAUCAGAAGUUAUAUUGAGCUCACCGCUGGCGUUGAACUACAGGAGGAUUUUCCUGAUGGGGAGCAAUAACUGUCCACAAGGUUGUUCGGGUUUCCCAUACUUCCCUCCUCCAUCAGCACGACAUCGCUGCAUGCCGGGACACUUCGAGGUGGAUCACCGUCAGCGUAGUCAUCAUUGUCGUCGUCGUAGCCGUCGGUGUUAUUAUCAAAAUCGUCGUGGUCCCGGGGACAGAACCGCCACUUCACCGAAAUUGAUAUUGAAGCCUAAUAUUCCAAAAAUAACGUCAGUGCCGCAAUCGCCGCAACGGGGGAAGGCCGCGACGUUGACCUCAUCGCCGCGAUUGCGGGAGAACGCUGGUGAGGCACCAACAGCCUCAUCGUUGGCAAAGCCUGAUGAGGUGUCAACAACCUCAUGGUGGCCGCCGCCGUCGAGAAUGUAUGGUACCUCCACUAGUGCACCUUUUGAAUGGAGGAGAUUAUGUAAAGCCAAAAGAAACAACAUGUACAGACGAUUUUUCUUAGCUAUCGCAUCAACAAACAAAAGGAUAAAAUUAUGGAGAUGCAAACCUAUUUUGAUGACAGCUUAGCAGUGUACUAAUUUCUGGCCAAUGGAAGCAUGUGAUCAUCGCCUUUUACCGAGACAAUGAAUGAUCAGAUAGUGCAUCUACUU
Molecule: long non-coding RNA, 1952 nt
Organism: Eucalyptus grandis
Lineage: Eukaryota; Viridiplantae; Streptophyta; Magnoliopsida; Myrtales; Myrtaceae
Exons: 3
Source: RefSeq, a predicted model, not a curated record